AACGAACGCUGGCGGCAGGCCUAACACAUGCAAGUCGAACGCCGUAGCAAUACGGAGUGGCAGACGGGUGAGUAACGCGUGGGAACCUUCCCUAUGGUUCGGAAUAGCUCAGGGAAACCUGGGGUAAUACCGGAUAAGCCCUUCGGGGGAAAGAUUUAUCGCCAUUGGAUGGGCCCGCGUCGGAUUAGCUAGUUGGUGGGGUAACGGCCUACCAAGGCGACGAUCCGUAGCUGGUCUGAGAGGAUGAUCAGCCACACUGGGACUGAGACACGGCCCAGACUCCUACGGGAGGCAGCAGUGGGGAAUAUUGGACAAUGGGCGAAAGCCUGAUCCAGCCAUGCCGCGUGAGUGACGAAGGCCUUAGGGUUGUAAAGCUCUUUUGGCGGGGAAGAUAAUGACGGUACCCGCAGAAUAAGCUCCGGCUAACUUCGUGCCAGCAGCCGCCGCAG
RNAcentral lists this ribosomal RNA (449 nucleotides) under uncultured bacterium. Its description in RNAcentral is "partial 16S ribosomal RNA". It matches the Rfam family "Bacterial small subunit ribosomal RNA", at positions 29 to 523 of the family's 1533-position model. The record is from RNAcentral.